This 30-nucleotide non-coding RNA is filed under the name Mus musculus (house mouse). The record is from RNAcentral. Lineage: Eukaryota; Metazoa; Chordata; Mammalia; Rodentia; Muridae.
UGAACUGUCAAUGUUGAUUACUAGGGAUAA